CCCAUGAACUGUGACAUCAUGACCUGAGUUGAAGUCAGAUGCUUAACCUAUUGAGCCAUCCAGGUGCCCCUACAAAUGGUUGUGUUCUGAGGGAGAUAUAGUGGGGACCGACUUGAAUCUCUGGUACCAACAUUCUUGUCUACAUUGUUGUUGCCUCUUACACCUGCCUGGAUAGCGAAAACAGGGGCCUCAGUCCUACAUCUGGAAGGAACUGAAUUAUACCAACCCUCUAAAAGAGCGUGGAAGACGAUCUUGAACUUCAGAUGAAACAGAAGCCCAGAUGACACCUCAAUUUCAACCAUAUGAGACCCUAAGCACAGAACUCAGCCAUGACAUGCCAGACUCCUGACCCAUGGAAACUGUGGGAUAAUAAAUUUGUAUUAUUUUGAGCUGUUAAGAUUGUGGUAAUUUUUAUGUAGCAAUAGAAAACUAAUAUAUAUCCAUAUAUAUCUAUAUAUGAAUGAUGGGUAAAGUAAAAUAGUUAUAACUUGUGAUCAUAGGGCCCAUCAGAAGGUAAUAUCACAUGCUAAGUGUCCCCUUGGACUGUCCCAGGUAUAAAAAAACUAAAUUCUCAAAAUGUUCAAAAUAUGAUUUUUAUAUGAAUACUUACUAUAUGGCUAAAUUCUACUAAACCUGUUAAGCAUGGAAUCAGAAUGGCAAAAACCUUGGUUCAAAAAAGAAAUAAGUAAAGAGCAAAGGAUGACAGAAUAAGAUUGCUCACUGACAUACAAAACUGGUCUGUAUCCUCAAAGAGAAUUAAAUCGUAACCUUUGGAAGUAACUUUGCCAGAUGAGGAAUCAUUUUCACAUGAUUGAUUGUCUACAAAUUAACCACUAGAGUUUGGUUUCCAAUCAAUAGCAAAUACAAGUCAAACAAAAUUAGGUUCUUCUAGACAAUUAACUCUGAGGUGAUUUUGUUAGGUGAUGUGCUAGCAUGAUUUUGAAGGGAAGUGCAAUCAUUUUCCCCCUUUAUUCCCAAGUUUUGCAUUUUUUUUAAAUUAAUAGGUAUUAUUGAAUGUGGGAUAAGGUGAUGACUGAAGGCCUACUUAUUAACAACUUAUGGAUCUGACCAUUAAAAUGAUUUCAGAAUAGUGCAGGCUGGAUGAAGUCUAGGAGUAUUCAGACCUGCAAUAAUCAAUAAAAGCCACCAUAUUAAAUAAAUGUAUUUGUAAUACUUAAAUAUAAAUGUCACUAAAAUAAAAAUUCUUCUGAAAUUAGUUUAUCUGUUUAUAUUAUAUGCGUAUGUAUUAGAAAAAUAACAAGGAACAAUUUCUUUUUUUUUUUUUUUUAAAUGCUUGUUUAUUUAUUUUUGAGAGAGAGACAGAGCACUUGCAGGGGAGGGGCAGAGGGAGAGAGAGGGAGACACAGAAUCCGAAGCAGGCUCCAGGUUCCAAGCUGUCAGGACAGAGCCUGAUGUGGCCCAGGAACCUUGAGAUCAUGACCUGAGUGGAAGUCCAAUGCUUAACCAACUGAGCCACCCAGGAGCUCCGAUGAACAUUUCUCUUUCAACUCUUAACUAGUUGAAUGAGAAUUUAUGCAAAAGGUUUUUUUUUCCCCCAAACUAUUUGCCUUAGCAUUACAAUGAGAACUUUUGGUCCCUUUAGGAUUUUAAGAUUUCUGCCAAUUAACUCAUUAUUCCUAACUGGGACAGUCUCAUUUUUAUCUCAUUUCUUUCAAUGUCUUGGUUAUCUCAACCUGCUCCACUUAAUAUAAUCUAAGGUUAAGUCCAGCAAUUCAGCGACAAUUCUCUGGUCAAGUUGCCAACAAUCAAUUAAUUGCUAAACCCCACCAAAAGAGAAAAGAAACAAAACAAAACACUUCUUAACCUACUUUUCCUUUUUACUAUCAUACUAUGUUGUACUUACCUCCAAGAGGAUGCAAAAACACUUGCAGGUUUCCUGGAGAAUAUUUCUUGGAAGGAAGGAAAUAUUCAUUACUUUUUGUCGUUAUCUCAAUCUAACACAAAACUGUUACCUUAGUUGGCACUUAUUCAAUGAAUAUAGGUAAUUUUAAGAGAUAGGUUAGUUAAGGAUGAAAGCUUAUAUCUUGUGUGUUAUUAUUGGCCACAGGUAUGAAGGAAACGGUUUCUUGAGAAGAUUGGAACACUCUGCAUUUGAACUAACUAGCUUUAGCAUUCUAAUUGAAGAUUUUUUAAACUUCUGGAAGCUCUCUAGUGUUCUCUGUUAAGUCUAUCAUUUCAAUUAUAAGUUUUUCUAUGGUCUUGGCACUCUGUUUGGAAAUCAAAUGCAUAUAAUUAAAUGGAGAUUGUGGAAGGAAAAACAUUACACUUCCCUUUAUUUCUUUUUUUUUUUUAAGAUUUUAUUUUUAAGUAAUCUCAACAUGCAACAUGGGGCUUGAAUUCACAACCCCUGAAAUCGACAGAUGACUGCAUCACCAACUGACCCAGCCAGAUGCCCCUAACUUUUGUUUCUUAAUCAAAAUUUGUCGUUGUAACUCAUACUAAUACCAACUGAUGUAUAUUUUAUAGUCGUAGUUUAAAUAUUAUAAAUGAACAAUAUAUGCCUGUGUAUUCUAACAGAAAUCUCAAACGUGAUAUAAAUUAGUCACUUGCUCGAUAUGUGACCAGUUACCACAAAGAACGUAAGGUAGAAAUUGUGGAGUUUUGUCUUUGUUUACAAGUAAAUUAAUAUAAAAAAUUUAUUCUGGGGUAAUUUGAACCAGCGUCAAUUUUUAAACCUCUUUUCGUCUUAUCCUAAAUGAGAA
Acinonyx jubatus (cheetah) is the source of this 2723-nucleotide long non-coding RNA. RefSeq lists it as uncharacterized. The transcript has 3 exons. The record is from RefSeq and is a predicted model, not a curated record. Lineage: Eukaryota; Metazoa; Chordata; Mammalia; Carnivora; Felidae.